UACACUUGCGGCACUUUUGGUGCUCGCGUCCGCUUCUCUCGCGGAUGCAGUCAAACGGGAAACAGGGAGCGAAGUUCCGGCGCAUGACCGGAGCGCGCCAACCUGUGCUGCCCCCGCAACGGUAAGCGACCGCAACGCAAGUUGCAAGUCGUCCCUCGCGCGUUUUUCGCGGCGUAUCGCGUGAUUUUUUAUCGCGGAUGCCGUCUGCAAGAAACGUGUCGACGCCACUGCGCGCCAUGCGCGGGAAGGCGGGACGAAGCGUCGCCAGCCCGGAUACCGGCCAAUCGUCCAGCACGCCG
RNAcentral lists this non-coding RNA (299 nucleotides) under Burkholderia sp. The record is from RNAcentral. Lineage: Bacteria; Pseudomonadati; Pseudomonadota; Betaproteobacteria; Burkholderiales; Burkholderiaceae. RNAcentral also lists the same sequence under 1 other name.